This 468-nucleotide ribosomal RNA is filed under the name uncultured bacterium. RNAcentral describes it as "partial 16S ribosomal RNA". It matches the Rfam family "Bacterial small subunit ribosomal RNA", at positions 28 to 507 of the family's 1533-position model. The record is from RNAcentral.
GACGAACGCUGGCGGCGUGCUUAACACAUGCAAGUCGAACGGAAAGGCCCUGCUUGUGUGGGGUGCUCGAGUGGCGAACGGGUGAGUAACACGUGAGUAACCUGCCCUUGACUUUGGGAUAACUUCAGGAAACGGGGGCUAAUACCGGAUAGGAGCUCCUGCUGCAGGGUGGGGGGUGGAAAGUUUCGGCGGUUGGGGAUGGACGCGCGGCUUAUCAGCUUGUUGGUGGGGUAGUGGCUUACCAAGGCUUUGACGGGUAGCCGGCCUGAGAGGGUGACCGGCCACAUUGGGACUGAGAUACGGCCCAGACUCCUACGGGAGGCAGCAGUGGGGAAUAUUGCCCAAUGGGCGGAAGCCUGAUGCAGCAACGCCGCGUGCGGGAUGCCGGCCUUCGGGUUGUAAACCGCUUUCGCCUGUGACGAAGCGUGAGUGACGGUAAUGGGUAAAGAAGCACCGGCUAACUACGUG